Non-coding RNA from Cyanistes caeruleus (blue tit), 2741 nucleotides. NCBI's taxonomy places the organism in Eukaryota, Metazoa, Chordata, Aves, Passeriformes, Paridae. The record is from RefSeq and is a predicted model, not a curated record.
UCAAGUCACUGUAAUCUAAGGUCUAUCAGUUACCUUAAUGGGCUCAGGAGAGGGUAGAAUGCAGAUACAUUUCCAUAGUCACAGAACAUUUUUAUAAGAAAGUUUCACAUUUGAGGAGAGAGUGAGAUUCAGAUUGCAACCAUGUGUAGUCAAGUGCCAGUAUUCUGACCAUUUCAUUUGCCAACUGAAUUUUGCAAUUUUUGCUUAAUUUAUCAUGACAGGAAAAGAGAUAAAUUGGUACAUACUGAUUUGAUAGAUGCAUGGUGCAAAGAAACAUAUUCUUUCUUCUCAUUCCUUUAGAAUUCUGUGUGACAGCAUAGGAUAGAGCUUUGUAAAUAUAACCAAUCUGGCCAUCUUACACCAUUCUCUCAAAUUUUACUGUGAGUAAAACUAGUAUUCCUGAUUCCAGUGAGGCGUAGUUUCACUUACUUUACAUUCAUAUCUAUAAUAUACCAGAAAGCAGACAUGAGGGGUAGAACUCUCACUUGUUGGAGAGAACAUAUUAUUUAAAUACAUAAUUUAGAUUUCACUUUGAUUAGGUUCAUAAAAGUCUGAACUAACUUUAUUUGAUAGUAACUCCUAUAGGUAAAUUGUGACAUUGGGUACCGAACAGGAUCUUGCCAAAGGCAAACAGUGUCUACUACAGCUGUCACUGAAACACUCUUCUUACCCUGCUUACUGUUUUAAGGUGCAUUAUGAAGAAGUAAACUGAGUCAAAUGGCUACUGCAGAUGUUGUUGAUGCAACUUCAUAAAUGAACUUUAUCAACAUUUUCUUCACAAAUGCAAUUAUUUCUUCUUCUUAUUUUGCAUUUACCAGUAGCAAAUAGACCUGAAGAGAGCUGGGGUCCUUGGUGGUCUUGAAAGAUGUUGACUUUAUGUCUUCUCUUGCUAAGAAUGAGAUUUCUGCUAUUCUGGAUAGCAUUAUUAUUGCAAGCACAUGUGUCUGCAAUGGUUGCCAGCAUUCUUCUGCUGCUGCAGUGGGCUUAAACCAUAGCAAGGUUGAAAUCGUGGUCAGGAUCAGACGUCCCCCAUUAGACACAUGGCACCUGAAUGAACAUAGACCUAAGGUCAUAGCAAGGAUAGUUUAAAACAUAUAAACUAGUUAUCUGACUCCCUAUCUACCCAGGCAGUAAAGAGAUAAGAAUUAAAAGUAUGAAGAAUGCUUAAAGUUGGAUGUUGUCCUAUGUGGGACAAUGGCACAUGGAGUAUUACUGCUUCUGUAAUUUGGGUGCUGCCCUCACCUUUUCUGGUAAGAUGAAAGGUGAACCAGUUCUAAGCCUAAUCAAUAUUCCAGGGGUAAAGGGUCUUUCCCAGAAAAGUGGGAGCUUUCAACAAGGAGAUUUCAACUCCUGCAGGCUGCAGGAGUAUCUAGGACUUUGGUCUCUUAGCUUUUAGCUGAGUGAAUUUUCUGGUACUCAGUUUCUGGAAGAGAAAGGUAUUUUACUAUGUGUGUGACUGAGCACUGGGCUAGACUGAAUUCAUCAUUGUCCGAGUGUCUUGAGGGAAGGUCUAUGUGUGCAUGAUGGAAUAGAGACAAUUAGAUGUGUCUUCAGCCACCUCCCAUCCCAGAUUAAGAUAUGUGUUAGGGUUAUCUUAGAAAAAGGUAAUGCAUUUCCAUGACUGACUCAGUGCUUAGGAGACAGUAUAAUCCAAAAUGGAGAUAAAAGUUGACUGUAGGCACCCCUAGACACUGUGCUGGAGAGCAGACAUUUAACAGAGAUUUAUUGAGUAUUCAUCUCAAUUCAGGUGGAACUCAUAUGAUCUGCAUCUUGCAGCACAGUUCAAACCUAAAGAAUGUAAGCGUGUCAAUUCAUUGUCAAUUAGAGCUGGACCUUUUCCAACAGUAUUAUCUGACAUGUUUAACCACAGAUUGCUUUUCUGACCUUACAUAGGCAUGAAAACUCCCUCUACCCUGACCAAAGUCCUCACUUAAACAUAUGGUAGCUGAGACCUUUUAAAGUCAUCUUUCUUCACAGGAAAUAAGCCAGGAAGAGAACAAAUGGCAGAAUUUAACAAAUGAAAUCCAGAAUUAACCUAUUGUAAAAUGUUUUUGUGUGUGCUGUGGUUACUGUCUCCCUCUGGAUGAAAGUAGAAUGUCUCAUGUGCGUUUAGAGUUGAGCCAUGCAGUCUUUUUGGAAACAUGUAUUUAGUGGGUAUCCAUGACUGUUAAGUUUAUAAUAGAAAAAUUGUUUUAUUAUAGUUUCCAAAGACCCCUAAUACAUUAGGAACAUGAAUUUUAAAAAAUAAAUAAGACAGUACUUAUUGGUCCUGAUUCUCCAGACAGUUUAGUUGGAUCCAAGGAAUACAAAAGUUACAUUUUCUGCUUGGUGCUCCUCUCAGUUCUCCUGCUGUGUUACUGUGCUUUCCAGUUUGCACAUCUCUGCCCAACUCUUAUGAAUUUUUGUCCCAUUAUCCAGCCCCACUUGAUCUACCCCUUCUUCCCUGGAGUCAGCUCUUGAUUUACUGCUUUUAGCCUGAUGUUUUUGUUCUCCUGCAAUUUCUUGACUCCCCAAGCUCUGUUCCAUUUUAAUUACAGGGAUAUUCUUUCCUGAAACCUGAAGGUUAUGGAGUCCUGUCCUAGCUGGUGAUUGUUUCAAGGUCUACCAGAAAUUACAUCUUUCUGUUCUUGUUUGUUUUUUUUUAAAUAGACAUUACUUUUCCAUAUCUAGCUGUCAGUAUGUUUUGAACAUACAUGGAGUAAUUAAUAUAAAUUAAAAAAAUAAACAUGUUGUAAAAACCA